ACGGAGCAUUCUCCAUCCUUGGGCUACAUUGGCUGAAGAAGACUUCCUCUGCAAUUGCUGCUCUGGGCCACUGUGUUGCUGGGCACCAGAACUGAGAGCAGGGAGCCUCUGCCUGUUCUCUCAGUGCUCCCCUGCUUACACCCAGAGAUUGGCUAAUUCCUCACCUACAGCAGUAAGAGCAAUCUGCAGAUGAUGAUCUAAAUUCCCGUAGCUCCAUAAUGGUGAAGAAUACAGCUUUUACUGCUUUCUGAAGACACGUUGUAAAACAUACCAAGUUAGGAAGAAUUUGCAAACACGCUGGAGGA
Caretta caretta (loggerhead turtle) is the source of this 305-nucleotide long non-coding RNA. RefSeq lists it as uncharacterized. The record is from RefSeq and is a predicted model, not a curated record. Lineage: Eukaryota; Metazoa; Chordata; Testudines; Cheloniidae.